RNAcentral lists this ribosomal RNA (274 nucleotides) under uncultured bacterium. RNAcentral's name for it is "partial 16S ribosomal RNA". It matches the Rfam family "Bacterial small subunit ribosomal RNA", at positions 523 to 796 of the family's 1533-position model. The record is from RNAcentral.
AUACGGAGGGUGCAAGCGUUAAUCGGAAUUACUGGGCGUAAAGCGCGCGUAGGCGGUUAUUUAAGUCAGAUGUGAAAUCCCUGGGCUCAACCUAGGAACUGCAUCUGAUACUGGGUAACUAGAGUUUUCGAGAGGUAAGUGGAAUUUCCGGUGUAGCGGUGAAAUGCAUAGAGAUCGGAAGGAACACCAGUGGCGAAGGCGACUUACUGGCCAAAAACUGACGCUGAGGUGCGAAAGCGUGGGUAGCAAACAGAAUUAGAAACCCUAGUAGUCC